GACGAACGCUGGCGGCGUGCUUAACACAUGCAAGUCGAACGGAAAGGCCCUGCUUUUGUGGGGUGCUCGAGUGGCGAACGGGUGAGUAACACGUGAGUAACCUGCCCUUGACUUUGGGAUAACUUCAGGAAACUGGGGCUAAUACCGGAUAGGAGCUCCUGCUGCAUGGUGGGGGUUGGAAAGUUUCGGCGGUUGGGGAUGGACUCGCGGCUUAUCAGCUUGUUGGUGGGGUAGUGGCUUACCAAGGCUUUGACGGGUAGCCGGCCUGAGAGGGUGACCGGCCACAUUGGGACUGAGAUACGGCCCAGACUCCUACGGGAGGCAGCAGUGGGGAAUAUUGCACAAUGGGCGGAAGCCUGAUGCAGCAACGCCGCGUGCGGGAUGACGGCCUUCGGGUUGUAAACCGCUUUCGCCUGUGACGAAGCGUGAGUGACGGUAAUGGGUAUAGAAGCACCGGCUAACUACGUGCCAACAGCCGCGGUGAUACCUAAGGUGCGAGCGUUGUCCGGAUUUAUUGGGCGUAAAGGGCUCGUAAGUGGGUGAUCGCGUCCGAAGUGUAAUCUUGGGGCUUAACCCUGAGCGUGCUUUCGAUACGGGUGACUGAGGGGAAGGUAGGGGAGAAUGGAAUUCCUGGUGGAGCGGUGGAAUGCGCAGAUAUCAGGAGGAACACCAGUGGCGAAGGCGGUUCUCUGGGCCUUUCCUGACGCUGAGGAGCGAAAGCGUGGGGAGCGAACAGGCUUAGAUACCCUGGUAGUCCACGCUGUAAACGGUGGGUACUAGGUGUGGGGUCCAUUCCACGGGUUCCGUGCCGUAGCUAACGCUUUAAGUACCCCGCCUGGGGAGUACGGCCGCAAGGCUAAAACUCAAAGGAAUUGACGGGGCCCCGCACAAGCGGCGGAGCAUGCGGAUUAAUUCGAUGCAACGCGUAGAACCUUACCUGGGUUUGACAUGGAUCGGGAGUGCUCAGAGAUGGGUGUGCCUCUUUUGGGGUCGGUUCACAGGUGGUGCAUGGCUGUCGUCAGCUCGUGUCGUGAGAUGUUGGGUUAAGUCCCGCAACGAGCGCAACCCUUGUUCACUGUUGCCAGCACGUUAUGGUGGGGACUCAGUGGAGACCGCCGGGGUCAACUCGGAGGAAGGUGGGGAUGACGUCAAGUCAUCAUGCCCCUUAUGUCCAGGGCUUCACGCAUGCUACAAUGGCUGGUACAGAGAGUGGCGAGCCUGUGAGGGUGAGCGAAUCUCGGAAAGCCGGUCUCAGUUCGGAUUGGGGUCUGCAACUCGACCUCAUGAAGUCGGAGUCGCUAGUAAUCGCAGAUCAGCAACGCUGCGGUGAAUACGUUCCCGGGGCU
This 1346-nucleotide ribosomal RNA is filed under the name uncultured bacterium. RNAcentral describes it as "bacterial SSU rRNA". It matches the Rfam family "Bacterial small subunit ribosomal RNA", at positions 28 to 1381 of the family's 1533-position model. The record is from RNAcentral.